UACACAUGAUGAAUACAUGUCUGAAACUCUGAGGUCCAUCACAAAAGAAAUCUGGCCCAUUCCUUCUGAUUCAGGUGAUCCUAUGAAUAUACAAUGUGUUUGCUUUUGGUCUUUGGGUUUGUUCACUUCACUGUAUUAUUAUAAUUGGAUCAAUGAAAUAAUUUAUACGUAUACAUGGAAGAUGAUAAACACAGAUCAUGGAGGACUGUUUUAUCUGUUUGUGAUCUGCCGUCCUCUGUGAGCCUCAGGAUGGAUGUUUGCCAGCCGAUUCCAUGGUUACAAGCUCUAUAGCUGCAUCUAUGUGUUAGGAGCAUGAAGACCAAUAAUGGAUGCACUGAGCUGAUUAUGAAUUUAGCCCUGAUGAAGACUUGUGUUGCUGUCAUGAUAUGAAAGAUUCCAAAUGAACGCACUUGAGUUGAUUCAAGCACGCUUCCAUGGUCAUGAGCUCUGUGGUUGCAUCUGUGUGUUAGGAGCAUGCAGACCAAUAGUGAUAAUCUCGAGGUGAUUUAUGCAUUCUUCCAUGGCCACCAGCCUUAUGAUUGCAUCUGUGCGUCACAGCUUAGAGAUCAAUAAUGGAUGCAACAAGCUCUUUGAAUCAUUCUGUUGGGAUCAAGAUUGUUGUGUUCCCUCUGUUUGGAAAGAGACCAAGAAUGGAUACGCUCAGGUGAUUUAAGCAGUCUUCCAUGGCCACGAGCUCUGUGGUUGCCUCUGUAUAUUAAGAGCACAGAGAUUAAAAAUGGGUGCACUUGAGCCGAUUGAAACAUUCCUCCUUGCAUCUUUCUUCUGUGAUUGCAUCUAUUUGUUAGUAGCAUAGAGACCAAUAAUAGAUGGCUUGUGCUGAUGGAAGGAUUCCUCCCUGGUGACAUGCUGUGUCUGCCUCUUGAUUGGGAGCACGCAGACCUACAAUGAUGCACUUUUUAUGAUUUGAGAAUUCCUUCAUGGUCACGUGCUCUGUUUUUAUCAUGGUUGGGAGCCUGCAGAGCAAUAAGGGACAUGCCUUUGCUGAUUUGAGGAUUCCUCUGAGGUUGGGAGCUAAGUUUGCAUCAUGCUUAGAAAGGAGUGUGCAGACCUGUAAUGAUUGCACUUUGCUGAUUGAAGGAUUCCUUCAAGUCCAUGUGCUCCACUUGCACCAUUUUUAGGAUGGAGCCUGGAGACCUAUAAUGAACAACUUGUGCUGUGUUAAGGAUUCCUCCAUGAUCACGCGCCCCAUUUGUACACCAUGCUUGGGAAGGUGCAUGCAGACCAAUGUUAGUAAUAGUCAAAAUUCCUGUGUCGGUUUGUGUGGUUUGCUAAACAGGACUCAAUGUAUCAUGAAACAGUGUAUUAUAUAGUCAACUAUGGUCAACUAUGUCCCAGUGAUAUUUAUGAGAGGGAUCUGAAGUAUUUAUUGAUAAUGCAUAUAUGAAAAACGGAGAAGAAUUAAUGAAACAGAUAUAUCUGUGUUAGAAUGAUUCUGUAUAAAGAUAGGGAAUAUCAAGUCUGUUCUUAGUGUUUUGUGAAUCACAGAGUGUAAAAUUAUUCCCAGUGAAUUAAUGAAUAAAUUUAAAGACAACAUAGAAAUGAAUGCAGAAAAA
Homo sapiens (human) is the source of this 1574-nucleotide long non-coding RNA. Ensembl annotates it as maternally expressed 8, small nucleolar RNA host gene. Its record names the gene MEG8. The record is from Ensembl. Lineage: Eukaryota; Metazoa; Chordata; Mammalia; Primates; Hominidae.